Molecule: long non-coding RNA, 3693 nt
Filed under: Geospiza fortis (medium ground-finch)
Lineage: Eukaryota; Metazoa; Chordata; Aves; Passeriformes; Thraupidae
Description: lncRNA (ENSGFOG00000007470.1)
Source: RNAcentral
GGCUGGUGAUGGCGGCGGCUAUGGGUUCCGCGCUGUUGCCCCUCUUGGCGUUUCUCGGGCCCGCGGCCGCGCUCGCCGGAUACAUCGAGGCCCUUGCAGCCAAUGCUGGGACAGGGUUUGCAGUGGCAGAACCUCAAAUUGCCAUGUUCUGUGGGAAGCUAAAUAUGCAUGUGAACAUCCAGACUGGGAAAUGGGAACCUGACACUUCUGGGACCAAGAGCUGCUUUGGAAGAAAGGAGGAGAUUCUGCAAUACUGCCAGGAGAUGUACCCAGACCUUCAGAUCACCAACGUGGUAGAAGCCAACCAGCCCGUCAGCAUUGACAGCUGGUGCAAGCGUGGGAAGAAGCAGUGCAAGGACCACACUCACAUCGUUGUGCCAUACAAGUGCCUGGUGGGUGAGUUUGUAAGUGAUGUCCUGUUGGUGCCCGAGAAGUGCCGGUUCUUCCACAAGGAGCGCAUGGAUGUGUGUGAAAGCCACCAGCACUGGUACACUGUGGCAAAGGAGGCCUGUCUGACAGAAGGGAUGAUCCUGCACAGCUAUGGGAUGCUGCUGCCCUGCGGAGUGGACCAGUUCCAUGGAACAGAAUAUGUGUGCUGUCCUCAGACUAAGGUUGUGGAUGAGGCAGGUGUAGAAGACUUCACAGGAACAGCUGUGGAGGAAGAUGAGGAUGAGGAUGAUGAAGGGGAAGAGGAGGAGGAUGUGGUGGAAGACCGUGAUUACUACUAUUUCCCUACAGAGGCAGGUGUAGAAGACUUCACAGGAACAGCUGUGGAGGAAGAUGAGGAUGAGGAUGAUGAAGGGGAAGAGGAGGAGGAUGUGGUGGAAGACCGUGAUUACUACUAUGACAGCUACAAGGUUGAUGACUACAAUGAAGAGACACCCACAGAGCCCAGUAGUGACAAGGCUAUGUCUGAAAAAGAAGUGAGCAGUGACAUGAAAUCUGUCUGCUCCCAGGAGGCCAUGACAGGGCCCUGCCGGGCUGUGAUGCCUCGUUGGUACUUCGAUCCUAACAAGAGAAAAUGCAUUCGCUUUAUAUAUGGAGGCUGCGGAGGCAACAGGAACAAUUUUGAGUCAGAGGAGUAUUGUAUGGCUGUGUGUAAAAAGAUGAGUAAGUCCUUGCCAACUGAUGAUGUGGAUGUGUAUUUUGAAACCCCUGCUGAUGACAAUGAGCAUGCCCGCUUCCAGAAGGCCAAGGAGCAGCUGGAGGUCAGGCACCACAACCGCAUGGACCGGGUGAAAAAGGAGUGGGAGGAAGCAGAGCACCAGGCUGUUAAUCUCCCCAAGGCAGAAAGGCAGACUCUGAUCCAGCACUUCCAGGCCAUGGUAAAAUCUCUGGAGAAAGAAGCAGCGAGUGAGAAGCAGCAGCUGGUGGAGACUCACCUGGCUCGUGUGGAAUGGUUUGACCUAUUCCCUGCUCCUGUCCUGCAGCCCCACCGCAUCCUGCAGGCCCUGAAGCGCUAUGUCCGUGCCGAGAACAAGGAUAGGCUGCACACCAUCCGCCACUACCAGCAUGUCCUGGCAGUGGAUCCGGAGAAGGCUGCACAGAUGAAAUCCCAGGUGAUGACACAUCUUCAUGUGAUUGAGGAACGGAUGAAUCAAAGCUUGUCUCUGCUCUACAAGGUGCCAUAUGUGGCUGAAGAAAUCCAGGAUGAAAUUGAUGAGCUGCUUCAGGAGCAGCGUGCAGACAUGGAUCAGUUCACAUCCUCCAUUUCUGAGUCCCAGGUGGAUGUCAGAGUGAGCUCUGAGGAGAGUGAAGAAAUUCCCCUGGAUGGCAAACCUUUCCACCCGUUCCAGGUGAAAACCUUCCCAGCCUUGCCUGAAAGUGAAGGUUCUGGCAUGACUGAGCUGGAUGGGCUGAUUGGUGCUGAAGAAAAAGUGAUUAAUAGCAAGAACAAGGUGGAUGAAAAUGUGGUAAUUGAUGAAACCCUUGAUGUGAAGGAGAUGAUUUUCAACGCAGAGCGUGUCGGAGGGCUGGUGGAUGAGCCGGAUAAUGACAACUCCCUCCGUGAUGACUUUGGCUUCAGCAGCAGUGCCCUUAUUGGGCUGUUGGUGAUUGCUGUUGCCAUAGCUACUGUUAUAGUCAUCAGCUUGGUGAUGCUGAGGAAGAGGCAGUAUGGGACUAUCAGCCAUGGAAUUGUGGAGGUUGACCCGAUGCUCACCCCUGAGGAGCGGCAUCUGAGCAAGAUGCAAAACCAUGGCUAUGAGAAUCCCACUUACAAAUACCUGGAGCAGAUGCAGAUAUAAAAGAGAUGAAGAUGGAAUAGCCCCGAUAGGAAAAGGUGCGGGGCGAAGGGCCAAAGUGGUCCAGUGUUUUGGAUCAACUACUGACCAACAGUUGCUUCAAGAGGACUUCAUCUUACAUUCAGAACUCCUGGAUCAUUAAGACUAUAAUUACUACUGUAGAGUUGCAAUUUCCAUUCUUUAAAAUGGGUGAAGAAAUGAUAAUAUAACAAUAUGAUAUAUAAAUCUCCUUAAAUGGGAAAAAUUGAUCUAUUGCAGAUAUUUGACUGAGAUGUAGUUUUCUUUUUUUUUUAAUAAUCUGAAAAAUACCAGUUCUGUUGUACUGUUGUCUGAUACAAGCUCUAUAUAUAUAAAAAUGGGAAAUGUUGAUUUUUAUUUCUGAUAGACCACCUGUAUAUUGAGGGUUGUUUGUACCAGCCCACCUUCAAAAAAGGAGGCAGUUGCGGCUCUUUGGUCAUUUUGGCUUUUGUAUAUAAAGCAUUAUUCUUUUCCUUUUUUUUUUUAAGUGAAUUUCACUGGGACUUGCAAAGAGAUUAAUUUAGGGAUAGAAGCUAUAACAGCAUAAGCAAAGAAGCAAUUGGGAACAGUAACUAACAAAAUUCCCUAUAAUGAGACAAAAAAAAGGAAAAGAGAAAAAAAAGGAAAAAAACCCUCAUCUUCAUAUGCCAGUGGUGUGCACCCUGCUGCUUAGCAGCUUGGGCUCUAGGAAUCAAGACUCCCUGGAGGCAAGGAGUUAAAAGGCUUCUAGCAUCUCUGUUUAUAGUUAUUCUAGUAGAAUGUUAGAACAUGGUUUGUGCAUACUUGGGUCUGCACAUUCCCCUUCGAGAUUCAGUUCUGCUCUAGAGUUGGAAGUUCUGGUAUUGAAUUGAAAUCCUCUGUUCUCAGCCAGUUUCCUUCAGUACUCACCUGGCAUUAACAGCCCCGUCUUGCUACUACUUUCUAAUUUCCCCAGCUCUCCUGCCUCACCAACAUGGUAAGUAGUUAAGAGCCACAGGUUUCUGAGCCUUUGCAUCUCCCUGGGUGAUGUUGGGCCAGAAAUGACAGAUCACUGCAAUAACUGAGGCCUUGGGAGCUAACAAACAGAGAGGUCUCUUAGCUGGGGAUGGAAGAGAGUGACAUGUUGGGAAAGGGAUGCUGCCUACUCUAAGGGAAAUAGAAUGCAUAGGCUCCAAGAAGAACAAAAGGGGCAUUGUUCCACUCACCAUCAUCAUGUCUUUGUAAUGCUUGUAUAGUUGGUGUUAAUGCUCACGGCUUUUUUUAAUCUGGGGGUUCUGGUAACCUGUGGUGUAUUUUUUCUAUUUUUCCUGUGACUUUAUUUUUUCUUCCCCUUUCCGUGUUUCUUCCCACUAUGCACAGAUUUACCUGCAAACUCCUUAGUGUGGUCUGUGGGGAAUGUACAAAGUUUAAACACAUCAAUAAACACUUUAACUUCCAGAUUGCUUCUUCUCUU